RNAcentral lists this ribosomal RNA (460 nucleotides) under uncultured bacterium. Its description in RNAcentral is "partial 16S ribosomal RNA". It matches the Rfam family "Bacterial small subunit ribosomal RNA", at positions 338 to 795 of the family's 1533-position model. The record is from RNAcentral.
CCUACGGGGGACAGCAGUGAGGAAUAUUGGUCAAUGGUCGAGAGUCUGAACCAGCCAAGUAGCGUGAAGGAUGACUGCCCUAUGGGUUGUAAACUUCUUUUAUAUGGGAAUAAAACGUUCCACGUGUGGGAUUUUGUAUGUACCAUAUGAAUAAGGAUCGGCUAACUCCGUGCCAGCAGCCGCGGUAAUACGGAGGAUCCGAGCGUUAUCCGGAUUUAUUGGGUUUAAAGGGAGCGUAGGUGGAUUGUUAAGUCAGUUGUGAAAGUUUGCGGCUCAACCGUAAAAUUGCAGUUGAAACUGGCAGUCUUGAGUACAGUAGAGGUGGGCGGAAUUCGUGGUGUAGCGGUGAAAUGCUUAGAUAUCACGAAGAACUCCGAUUGCGAAGGCAGUUCACUGGACUGCAACUGACUCUGAGGCUCGAAAGUGUGGGUAUCAAACAGGAUUAGAUACCCUAGUAGUC